UCUAUCCUACGGGACGCAGCAGUGGGGAAUAUUGCACAAUGGGGGAAACCCUGAUGCAGCAACGCCGCGUGAGUGAAGAAGUAUUUCGGUAUGUAAAGCUCUAUCAGCAGGGAGGAGAAUGACGGUACCUGACUAAGAAGCCCCGGCUAACUACGUGCCAGCAGCCGCGGUAAUACGUAGGGGGCGAGCGUUAUCCGGAUUUACUGGGUGUAAAGGGAGCGUAGACGGUUCUGCAAGUCUGAAGUGAAAGCCCUUGGCUUAACCGCGGAACGGCUUUGGAAACUGUGGAACUGGAGUGCUGGAGG
RNAcentral lists this ribosomal RNA (305 nucleotides) under uncultured bacterium. RNAcentral's name for it is "bacterial SSU rRNA". It matches the Rfam family "Bacterial small subunit ribosomal RNA", at positions 333 to 655 of the family's 1533-position model. The record is from RNAcentral.